Molecule: ribosomal RNA, 715 nt
Filed under: uncultured Clavaria
Lineage: Eukaryota; Fungi; Basidiomycota; Agaricomycetes; Agaricales; Clavariaceae
Description: eukaryotic LSU rRNA
Rfam family: 5.8S ribosomal RNA (bases 282-435)
Source: RNAcentral
CUUGGUCAUUUAGAGGAAGUAAAAGUCGUAACAAGGUUUCCGUAGGUGAACCUGCGGAAGGAUCAUUAUCGAUUUUUAAAGAUGUGCUGGCACUCCUUCACCGGUUUGCAUGUGCACUCUGCAAAAUCUCCUUCUCUUACCCCACUGUGCACACCCAAGUAGACAAACAGAGUUACAGAGCAAUCUGUGUAAUUCCUGAUUUGCCUAUGUUUUUAUCAAACACCAAUAACAAUCUCAGAAUGAUCUAUAUAGUAAGCUUUUAACAAGCUGAAAUUUAAUACAACUUUCAACAAUGGAUCUCUUGGUUCUCGCAUCGAUGAAGAACGCAGCGAAUUGCGAUAUGUAAUGUGAAUUGCAGAAUUCAGUGAAUCAUCGAAUCUUUGAACGCACCUUGCACCCUCUGGCAUUCCGGAGGGUAUGCCUGUUUGAGUGUCAUUAAUCUCUCAACACAAGAAACUUUGUCUCCUUGUGCUUGGAUAUUGAAGGUUUUGCUGGCGCAAACAACUGUCAGCUCCUUUUAAAUGUAUUAGCAGAGCAGUGUAGGACUGGCCUCGGUUUGAUAAGAAACUUUAUCUAUGCUGUCGCUGGGUUUUCCUCUUUGUGCUCAGCUUCAAAUUGUCUUCGGACUGUCUCUUGAGGCAACAAAAUCUCUAUUGAUCGACCUCAAAUCAGGUAGGACUACCCGCUGAACUUAAGCAUAUCAAUAAGCGGAGGA